UGAGUUUGAUCCCUGGCUCAGGAUGAACGCUGGCGGCGUGCCUAACACAUGCAAGUCGAGCGAUUUACUUCGGUAAAGAGCGGCGGACGGGUGAGUAACGCGUGGGUAACCUGCCUCAUACACAUGGAUAACAUACCGAAAGGUAUGCUAAUACAGGAUAAUAUAAGAGAUUCACAUGGAUUUCUUAUCAAAGCUCCGGCGGUAUGAGAUGGACCCGCGUCUGAUUAGCUAGUUGGUAAGGUAAUGGCUUACCAAGGCGACGAUCAGUAGCCGACCUGAGAGGGUGAUCGGCCACAUUGGAACUGAGACACGGUCCAAACUCCUACGGGAGGCAGCAGUGGGGAAUAUUGCACAAUGGGCGAAAGCCUGAUGCAGCAACGCCGCGUGAGUGAUGAAGGCCUUCGGGUCGUAAAACUCUGUCCUCAAGGAAGAUAAUGACGGUACUUGAGGAGGAAGCCCCGGCAA
This 465-nucleotide ribosomal RNA is filed under the name Terrisporobacter glycolicus. RNAcentral's name for it is "bacterial SSU rRNA". It matches the Rfam family "Bacterial small subunit ribosomal RNA", at positions 1 to 499 of the family's 1533-position model. The record is from RNAcentral. Lineage: Bacteria; Bacillati; Bacillota; Clostridia; Peptostreptococcales; Peptostreptococcaceae.